CAGGAAGGAAAGAGAAACGAGAAAAGAGAAGAUAGUAAAAGAGAAAGUGACUCCUCCCGCCUUUCGUGUUAGCGGGUUUCUCUUUGAGGUGUACCUUCCCUCGUUCCUCGUCUGUAGGCUAGUCCUGUCUAUGAGAGAUCCCGCACCGGAUGGAAGGGUAAGGAUUAACUCAUGAACUCACGAAUAGACAGGUUAUAGCGACCAGCGGGAGAGGGUUCUCUCACAAUAUAAUUCCCGAAAUGAAAAGAAGGGAAUGGCAAGCCUUUCCGUAAAGACCCAACAUAUUAACUAUUUUAUAUUGGAAAUCUAUUUAUCU
This 316-nucleotide non-coding RNA is filed under the name uncultured Symbiodinium. The record is from RNAcentral. Lineage: Eukaryota; Dinophyceae; Suessiales; Symbiodiniaceae.